AAGUCGAGCGAACAGACGAGGAGCUUGCUCCUCUGACGUUAGCGGCGGACGGGUGAGUAACACGUGGGUAACCUACCUAUAAGACUGGGAUAACUCCGGGAAACCGGGGCUAAUACCGGAUAACACAUGAAACCGCAUGGUUUCAUGAUGAAAGACGGUUUUGCUGUCACUUAUAGAUGGACCCGCGGCGUAUUAGCUAGUUGGUAAGGUAACGGCUUACCAAGGCAACGAUACGUAGCCGACCUGAGAGGGUGAUCGGCCACACUGGAACUGAGACACGGUCCAGACUCCUACGGGAGGCAGCAGUAGGGAAUCUUCCGCAAUGGGCGAAAGCCUGACGGAGCAACGCCGCGUGAGUGAUGAAGGUCUUCGGAUCGUAAAACUCUGUUAUUAGGGAAGAACAAGGAUGUAAGUAACUAUGCAUCCCUUGACGGUACCUAAUCAGAAAGCCACGGCUAACUACGUGCCAGCAGCCGCGGUAAUACGUAGGUGGCAAGCGUUAUCCGGAAUUAUUGGGCGUAAAGCGCGCGUAGGCGGUUUUUUAAGUCUGAUGUGAAAGCCCACGGCUCAACCGUGGAGGGUCAUUGGAAACUGGAAAACUUGAGUGCAGAAGAGGAAAGUGGAAUUCCAUGUGUAG
RNAcentral lists this ribosomal RNA (637 nucleotides) under uncultured Staphylococcus sp. Its description in RNAcentral is "bacterial SSU rRNA". It matches the Rfam family "Bacterial small subunit ribosomal RNA", at positions 59 to 678 of the family's 1533-position model. The record is from RNAcentral. Lineage: Bacteria; Bacillati; Bacillota; Bacilli; Caryophanales; Staphylococcaceae.